AACGAAAAUCACCGCUAAAAAAAACAGGAGUUUGGGAAUACCGACGGAGUGCAGACGUCGACAUGACUGUUGUUCGCCAACACAAAAGGAGCAUUCACGCUUUGCAAAAUCGCCGCCGCAGACAAUGUGGUGGGCGAUGUCCGACCCGUGAAAUCUCUGGCUCUGACCUACUGGGCUUCGUAUAAUCUUUAUGAGAGUCACGGAGAGACUUAUGACAACGACUGGGAUGCAUCUGGGACAGCAGAGCCGGCGGGGACACUGUCACAGGGUGCAGAGGAAGAAGACCGGGAAGUUUGGGAGGGUUUGAUGCGCUACUUGAAAAGCUAAGUAAAAACUUUUGUUAUA
Etheostoma cragini (Arkansas darter) is the source of this 345-nucleotide long non-coding RNA. RefSeq lists it as uncharacterized. NCBI's taxonomy places the organism in Eukaryota, Metazoa, Chordata, Actinopteri, Perciformes, Percidae. The transcript is spliced from 2 exons. The record is from RefSeq and is a predicted model, not a curated record.